UAGCAGAUUGAAUUCAAAUAUGCUCUGGGU
Molecule: non-coding RNA, 30 nt
Filed under: Mus musculus (house mouse)
Lineage: Eukaryota; Metazoa; Chordata; Mammalia; Rodentia; Muridae
Source: RNAcentral